This 277-nucleotide long non-coding RNA is filed under the name Ananas comosus (pineapple). RNAcentral describes it as "long non-coding RNA (ACOM_LNC033914)". Lineage: Eukaryota; Viridiplantae; Streptophyta; Magnoliopsida; Poales; Bromeliaceae. The record is from RNAcentral.
UUAUUUACAUACUAUUAAUAUGAAUUUUGCUACAAUAUAUCGAUAAAACCAAGCACUUAAUGCUAUUAAGCCGUUAAAUCUACUCAUUUGAUUAUUUUUAUCUGUUGGAUCAUAUUAUUCAACCAACCAUACACUCAACUCUAGACGCGCGACUACUAUCAUCAUAACCGUACAUCGCUUUAUCCAAUGAUGAAAAAUCUAAUAAUUCAAUUUACUUGUUCUAUAUAUAGUAUUCAAACUUAGUUUCUAUUAAUAUUUAGUAGUAAAUAUUAAUUAU